GUCCACGCUGUAAACGAUGUGUGCUAGACGUUGGGGAGCCUAGCUCUUCGGUGUCGCAGCUAACGCUUUAAGCACACCGCCUGGGGAGUACGGCCGCAAGGUUAAAACUCAAAGGAAUUGACGGGGGCCCGCACAAGCGGUGGAGCAUGUGGUUUAAUUCGACGCAACGCGAAGAACCUUACCAGCCCUUGACAUGUCCGGUAUGGGUGGGGGAGACCCCAUUCUUCAGUUCGGCUGGCCGGAACACAGGUGCUGCAUGGCUGUCGU
RNAcentral lists this ribosomal RNA (267 nucleotides) under uncultured bacterium. RNAcentral's name for it is "partial 16S ribosomal RNA". It matches the Rfam family "Bacterial small subunit ribosomal RNA", at positions 793 to 1055 of the family's 1533-position model. The record is from RNAcentral.